AAAAGCGUAAACGGUAUACGAUGGACCCGCGUCUGAUUAGCUAGUUGGCGGGGUAGAGGCCCACCAAGGCGACGAUCAGUAGCCGGCCUGAGAGGGUGACCGGCCACAUUGGGACUGAGACACGGCCCAAACUCCUACGGGAGGCAGCAGUGGGGAAUAUUGCACAAUGGGGGGAACCCUGAUGCAGCGACGCCGCGUGAGUGAAGAAGUAUUUCGGUAUGUAAAGCUCUAUCAGCAGGGAAGAAAAUGACGGUACCUGACUAAGAAGCCCCGGCUAACUACGUGCCAGCAGCCGCGGUAAUACGUAGGGGGCAAGCGUUAUCCGGAUUUACUGGGUGUAAAGGGAGCGUAGACGGUUAUGCAAGUCUGAAGUGAAAGCCCAAGGCUCAACCAUGGGACUGCUUUGGAAACUGUAAAACUGGAGUGCAGGAGAGGUAAGCGGAAUUCCUAGUGUAGCGGUGAAAUGCGUAGAUAUUAGGAGGAACACCAGUGGCGAAGGCGGCUUACUGGACUGUAACUGACGUUGAGGCUCGAAGGCGUGGGGAGCAAACAGGAUUAGAUACCCUGGUAGUCCACGCGGUAAACGA
Molecule: ribosomal RNA, 587 nt
Filed under: uncultured bacterium
Lineage: Bacteria
Description: bacterial SSU rRNA
Rfam family: Bacterial small subunit ribosomal RNA
Source: RNAcentral